This is a long non-coding RNA of Xiphophorus hellerii (green swordtail), 215 nucleotides long. RefSeq lists it as uncharacterized. The transcript is spliced from 3 exons. NCBI's taxonomy places the organism in Eukaryota, Metazoa, Chordata, Actinopteri, Cyprinodontiformes, Poeciliidae. The record is from RefSeq and is a predicted model, not a curated record.
GCUCUCCGGAGCUUAGAAAAGAGAAAAACUGCACGUACACGCACGCCACUCACUCCAGAAGAAACCACAGACAUACUGUAAAAAGAGGAAGCUAGAGAGGAAGAGGAGGAGGAGGAGGAAGGAUUUACACGCAGGUUCAGAGAGUCGGGAUCUCAGCCGGUCAGCAGGAAGCAGAAGAGGCUGCGGGGCUUUCCAGGGCGUUGUCGCUGGCAGAG